AAAGUGGCAUACAACAACCACCAACAAGCUCUUGGUCCCUUGUUCGAUCCCCUCUCUAAUAUUUUUCGUUUUUUUCUUCCCAAAAUGAAUUAAAAACUUUUUUUAAUUUAAAUUAUUAAAAAUAAAAUUAUUUAUUUCAUUGAAAGUCUUAAAACAAAACAAAAAAAGUAAACUACUCCUUCCUUCACGUUCCCCAAUAUUAAUUCCAAAUUCUCUUGUGAAAUCAAACAAAUUAACCCAUCUCCUCUUUGAAUCUGAUCACCUACCCAUUUGUGCAAACCAUCAAUCGCUGACCAUUGAUUCCUCCCUAAAAGCCCAUUGAUUACCUCUUUGAAUCUUUCUCAUCGAUUGCUUUUAUAUGGUUGGUUGGUUCAUGACUGGUUUCCCCCAAACCCAUCGAUUCAACCGUCAAACCCCUCAAACCCAUCUUCUCUGAUUGAUUCCCUAUGCUCAUCACUUCUCACGCUAAUCUCAGUGUCUCUGGCCACCGCCGUCAAGCCAUCGUCGUUGUUAUUGGUUCCAUUCCCUCGUCGAAGCCUCCUCUUAUCAGUUGGAAAUCACAAACCGCAAUCUCCUGUCCUGUUGUUGAAGAGGACAAAGUCGUAUCUUAAUUCUUAGGUGGAGAAAGUUAACUGUAUUUGGAAAUGAAUAAUGAUUCGCUUGCUUGUUUUGGAUAACAAUGUUGAGACGACCAAGAAGAUUUAUCAAGUCUGCAUGCUACCAUAGAAGAUUUUUGAUCUUUAUGUUAACUAAUUAGUUGUAACUUAGAGAUAUCCAUGUUACCAUAUUAGUGGCUAUACAUUUCUGACUUUUAUGCUAUAUAUACAUAAUUUUUUUGUGAUG
This is a long non-coding RNA of Medicago truncatula (barrel medic), 843 nucleotides long. RefSeq lists it as uncharacterized. Lineage: Eukaryota; Viridiplantae; Streptophyta; Magnoliopsida; Fabales; Fabaceae. The transcript is spliced from 3 exons. The record is from RefSeq and is a predicted model, not a curated record.